Panicum virgatum (switchgrass) is the source of this 1834-nucleotide long non-coding RNA. RefSeq lists it as uncharacterized. The record is from RefSeq and is a predicted model, not a curated record. The transcript has 3 exons. Lineage: Eukaryota; Viridiplantae; Streptophyta; Magnoliopsida; Poales; Poaceae.
AACAUGUGCACGCAGAACUCAUGGGCCACAACUGGGCCACAUCCAAAUUGGGCCGGAUGUCACACAUCAAGCACGCUCGCAACAUUGAGUUGUACUCAUGAGUCGUAUAAUGAUGUUAUUGUUUCCUUUUCAUUUUCUGCCCAACGGAGAUGUGAAUAGGAAUUGUUAUUAGCAUGAUCAGGUCCCUGCCUCCGCCGCCGCUGUCAUUGCUGGCCCCAUCGAUCCGGUUUGGCUGGGACCUUGCGGGGACGGGGUGCCUGAUCGAGCUUUCUGUUUGGAUUUUGCUUUCCCUUGUGGGGCUCGGUUGCUGGUGCGGUUGCCCAGGAGGAGGACAUGGAUUUGGCAUCGGUGAACGAAGAGCUGGCCGAGAUCGACGGAUAGAAGGGGCAUAUCCUCCGAGCAUUGCAGUAAGGUCAAACCAUUCGACUUGCUGCGACUUUGGUCGCUUGCAAUUUGCUCUUGCUCAAUCAUGUUCUCCACAAAUGCUCGUUAUAUCUCCUUGACGCGUUUUGCGAGUGGAGCACAGCUUUUGAGAUCGAAUUAUUGACAUGUAGAGAGAUGGGUUCCAGAAUCCAAACUACAUUGGAUAUAUAGAGUAUCACUUCAGUUGUAGACAAUGAUAUUACCAUCUCUGGUUGCUUAUAGUUUUGUUCUGAUAAUUCAGUACUUCAGUUUUCAUCUCCAGCUUAUUGCUUCCCAAAUGUGUUUGAUGGAAAAUGAUACUUUUUGUCAAAUGGCACAAAGAGUGACCAUGUACAUGAAUCCCUUCAAGGACCGUGAUUUUUUUAGGUUAGGUCAUUAACUGCUUUCUGAUUUGGGUAAUUGGUUCUUUAAUUUUGGUCUUCUCAUGUGCAACACUAUUAUGGUAAGAUUGCAGGAAACAGAGAUGUUAUCAUGGUAAGUAGUAGCUAUAUUGUUUUAACCUUCUCCAACCUUAUGUUUUUUUUCUUUCUUGCUGUGCUACUUUGCAUAUUAUGUGGAUAUGCAAUUUACCCAUGUCAUAUUCAACCAGCAGAUUUCUUGAGUAUAUGGGAUUGUUGAUCUCAGUGGAAGCCAUUGCCAUGCCUUGUUCCAAUUCCGAGUUCGGAUUUGCCAUUAGAUGCUGAGGCUCUCAAGACAAAUUAAACAAGGUAGAGAGUGCAGUUUGGAUUCCAGGAAUUAUGCCAAUACCUCUUUCCAUGUCUUUAUACCAAUACACCUUUGCAUUCUUGCUCUUAGAUCAGAGAGCUGCCAAGUGCUCUGUGAAUUUGGUACAAGUAUAAAAUUAAUAUCCAUAUAUUCACUAAAUUCUGAAUAUGUAUGUUGUUCCUAAUGUUGUGGCCAUUUUUUUGUUUGCAGAAAUAUAUGAUGAAUUUCUAAAUCCAUCUAUCAAACAUGUGGUAAUAAUUUCAUAAUAUAACAAAAUAUCUUACUUGUACUUGUGUUUGGGUCAAUUCCGAGUGUGUCACCACUCACCAAGGCUUCCAUAUCCCACCACGCAAAGAUUGCUAUGUAUCAAGAUAAUCAAGAUGCGCACACAACAAUUGCUUGAGAAUCAAACAAUGGCAGGAGCUUGAAAACAGGCAAAUGGCUGCAUCUUCAACAAAUGAAUUUGGAAAACAAGUUAUCAUGGAGUUUUUAUCGUAGCAAAUUGAUUGAUUCUAUGAACUUUGUACAUAUAUAUAUGAAAAUUUCCUACAAAGUGCUUGUUUGUUGUUUAAUCAAGCGCAAAUGGCCCUCUAAAUGGUGGUUUUCUUGUGCAUAUGCGCAUGUGGGCAGUUUGGUUUACGUGUGGAUUUUAAAACUAUUAUGCAGAGGUUUGUGUGUGGAUAUUAAUAAGUCUAAUAUUGUGUUA